AUUGAACGCUGGCGGCAGGCUUAACACAUGCAAGUCGAGCGGGGGAAGGUAGCUUGCUACCGGACCUAGCGGCGGACGGGUGAGUAAUGCUUAGGAAUCUGCCUAUUAGUGGGGGACAACAUCUCGAAAGGGAUGCUAAUACCGCAUACGUCCAACGGGAGAAAGCAGGGGAUCUUCGGACCUUGCGCUAAUAGAUGAGCCUAAGUCGGAUUAGCUAGUUGGUGGGGUAAAGGCCUACCAAGGCGACGAUCUGUAGCGGGUCUGAGAGGAUGAUCCGCCACACUGGGACUGAGACACGGCCCAGACCCCUACGGGAGGCAGCAGUGGGGAAUAUUGGACAAUGGGGGGAACCCUGAUCCAGCCAUGCCGCGUGUGUGAAGAAGGCCUUAUGGUUGUAAAGCACUUUAAGCGAGGAGGAGGCUACUCUAGUUAAUACCUAGGGAUAGUGGACGUUACUCGCAGAAUAAGCACCGGCUAACUCUGUGCCAGCCGCCGCGUAA
RNAcentral lists this ribosomal RNA (500 nucleotides) under uncultured bacterium. RNAcentral describes it as "partial 16S ribosomal RNA". It matches the Rfam family "Bacterial small subunit ribosomal RNA", at positions 30 to 522 of the family's 1533-position model. The record is from RNAcentral.